ACCUAGGUGCACCAACAACUAUCUCCUGGCAUGCCUGUGCCUGCACGUCUUCAUUUAUCAUCAGAGAACAGAGGAUGCACAGUCCUUUUAGCAACCUGGACAGACCAGAGUGAAAGGGGCUUCGGAUCAGGAGAAAGGGGUGUGUCCUUCUAUUUACAUCUGCCUGGCAAAAAACUGUAUGCGAGCCUGGAAGAAGGACAGAGCCCAACAGAUAUCAUGGAUUUUGACUCUCACUGCUUCCUUUGGCUGCUAGUUUUUGCAGAUGCCAACGUCUUCUGGCUGAUUCAGCCAUUCAGUACUGAUCCUUAAGCACCUACAGUGUGCAGUGCUUUUUAUUCUCCACCAAGGCAUUCCUGCUGCAAACACAAAGAACAUUUUCUCUGAGACUCUUGGGUAAGGAUGACAUAAAGAUCAGAAGAGACAGGUGGCUUGCUCUUAUCACAAUUCAGUUCCAGGAGGGCCCACUCUUUGACUAGUUUACUUGUAAUGGUUAAUUUGUAGGCAAAAAAUGAUGACAUCUCAGAAGAUGGAGUUCCAAGCCCUACAUAACAAACAGGAUAAAGAACAAAGCAAAACCAGUUCAUAAAAAGACCAGUCCAGAAAAAUCAAGAUCCUGUCCCCUGUUCCCUCAGCAAUGUGCUGUGGUAGGCUGAUUUUCUUUAGACUCUGGAAACAUUAAUUCAAUAAAUUACUUCAAUUCAUUAAUGUAAUUAUAAAUUCAUGGCUGUAAUUUUAAAGUCAUCUUGUUUCCUACCCUCUGCUCCAGUGACAUCUGAGUGCUAUUGAUUGUAAAUGUCAAGUUAGACUUCCAGGCAUAUUUCCCUUGUUUGAGAAUCAAUACAAAACUAGAUCAUCUUUGACAGUACAUUGAAAGUUAUUCCUUACUCAUGUGACAUUUUGACUGCCCCCCACCAGUAUUUCAGUUAGAUAUUUACUUCCUGGGGGUAUACAGAGAAAUAUGGUCUUACUUUGUAAAACUCAAAUUCCAAACUAAAAAAAAAGAGACGUGAGGAAUUUGAAUCAUAUGCAUAUUAACUUACUUUUGAAUAAACUCAGCAUAAGAAAAUCCAAAUUCAUAAAAGCUGAUUAAUUUCCC
This 1096-nucleotide long non-coding RNA is filed under the name Fukomys damarensis (Damara mole-rat). Its description in RNAcentral is "lncRNA (ENSFDAG00000027889.1)". Lineage: Eukaryota; Metazoa; Chordata; Mammalia; Rodentia; Bathyergidae. The record is from RNAcentral.